UACGUAGGGUGCAGGCGUUAAUCGGAAUUACUGGGCGUAAAGCGUGCGCAGGCGGUUUUGUAAGACUGUCGUGAAAUCCCCGGGCUCAACCUGGGAAUGGCGAUGGUGACUGCAAGGCUAGAGUUUGGCAGAGGGGGGUAGAAUUCCACGUGUAGCAGUGAAAUGCGUAGAUAUGUGGAGGAACACCGAUGGCGAAGGCAGCCCCCUGGGUCAAAACUGACGCUCAUGCACGAAAGCGUGGGGAGCAAACAGG
This 253-nucleotide ribosomal RNA is filed under the name uncultured bacterium. RNAcentral describes it as "partial 16S ribosomal RNA". It matches the Rfam family "Bacterial small subunit ribosomal RNA", at positions 524 to 776 of the family's 1533-position model. The record is from RNAcentral.